This 468-nucleotide ribosomal RNA is filed under the name uncultured bacterium. RNAcentral's name for it is "partial 16S ribosomal RNA". It matches the Rfam family "Bacterial small subunit ribosomal RNA", at positions 28 to 507 of the family's 1533-position model. The record is from RNAcentral.
GACGAACGCUGGCGGCGUGCUUAACACAUGCAAGUCGAACGGAAAGGCCCUGCUUUUGUGGGGUGCUCGAGUGGCGAACGGGUGAGUAACACGUGAGUAACCUGCCCUUGACUUUGGGAUAACUUCAGGAAACUGGGGCUAAUACCGGAUAGGAGCUCCUGCUGCAUGGUGGGGGUUGGAAAGUUUCGGCGGUUGGGGAUGGACUCGCGGCUUAUCAGCUUGUUGGUGGGGUAGUGGCUUACCAAGGCUUUGACGGGUAGCCGGCCUGAGAGGGUGACCGGCAAGAUUGGGAGUGAAGUCCGGACGGGCCUCCGACGGGAGGGAGCAGGGGGGAAGGUGGCAAAAGGGGCGGAGGCCUGAUGACGCAUGGCGGCGGGCGGGAUGAGGGCCUUCGGGUGGUAGACCGCGAACGCGUGUGAAGAAGCGUGAGGGACGGGAAUGGGUAAAGAAGCACCGGACACGUAUGGU